UCUCGUUCAGACGAGGCGCCUUUUAUAGGACAAAACCGUGAGGGUAGGGGGCAACCUCCGCGGACCCCCGCGCCGUCAGGGCUCGGGACUGUCAUUGGGACUGUCAUUGGGCUCCGGCCCUGGGCGACCUCCCUGGGCGACCUCCCGCAGACCCGAAGCGGCAAUCCCAGAGCGGACAAUACCUCGGAAGGGACGCAGAUGCUUUCCCUGCUCGGCCGGUGUGUGGGCUGGUGUCGGGGUUCCGACCCCACAUCA
RNAcentral lists this long non-coding RNA (255 nucleotides) under Phoenix dactylifera (date palm). RNAcentral describes it as "long non-coding RNA (PDAC_LNC000473)". The record is from RNAcentral. Lineage: Eukaryota; Viridiplantae; Streptophyta; Magnoliopsida; Arecales; Arecaceae.